UACGAAGGGGGCUAGCGUUGUUCGGAAUCACUGGGCGUAAAGCGCACGUAGGCGGAUUUUUAAGUCAGGGGUGAAAUCCCGAGGCUCAACCUCGGAACUGCCUUUGAUACUGAGGAUCUGGAGUCCGGGAGAGGUGAGCGGAACUGCGAGUGUAGAGGUGAAAUUCGUAGAUAUUCGCAAGAACACCAGUGGCGAAGGCGGCUCACUGGCCCGGAACUGACGCUGAGGUGCGAAAGCGUGGGGAGCAAACAGG
RNAcentral lists this ribosomal RNA (253 nucleotides) under uncultured bacterium. RNAcentral describes it as "partial 16S ribosomal RNA". It matches the Rfam family "Bacterial small subunit ribosomal RNA", at positions 524 to 776 of the family's 1533-position model. The record is from RNAcentral.